GACAGAGGGUGCAAACGUUGUUCGGAUUUACUGGGCGUAAAGCGCGUGUAGGCGGCUUGGCAAGUCGGAUGUGAAGGCCCACGGCUCAACCGUGGAAGCGCAUCCGAAACUGCUUCGCUCGAGUCUCGGAGAGGAAGGUGGAAUGCUUGGUGUAGAGGUGAAAUUCGUAGAUAUCAAGCAGAACACCUGCGGCGAAGGCGGCCUUCUGGACGAUGACUGACGCUGAGACGCGAAAGCGUGGGGAGCAAACAGG
This 253-nucleotide ribosomal RNA is filed under the name uncultured bacterium. RNAcentral's name for it is "partial 16S ribosomal RNA". It matches the Rfam family "Bacterial small subunit ribosomal RNA", at positions 524 to 776 of the family's 1533-position model. The record is from RNAcentral.